AUUGAACGCUGGCGGCAUGCCUUGCACAUGCAAGUCGAACGGCAGCAUGAUCUAGCUUGCUAGAUUGAUGGCGAGUGGCGAACGGGUGAGUAAUACAUCGGAACGUGCCCUGUAGUGGGGGAUAACUAGUCGAAAGAUUAGCUAAUACCGCAUACGACCUGAGGGUGAAAGUGGGGGACCGCAAGGCCUCAUGCUAUAGGAGCGGCCGAUGUCUGAUUAGCUAGUUGGUGAGGUAAAGGCUCACCAAGGCGACGAUCAGUAGCUGGUCUGAGAGGACGAUCAGCCACACUGGGACUGAGACACGGCCCAGACUCCUACGGGAGGCAGCAGUGGGGAAUUUUGGACAAUGGGCGAAAGCCUGAUCCAGCAAUGCCGCGUGUGUGAAGAAGGCCUUCGGGUUGUAAAGCACUUUUGUCCGGAAAGAAAUGGCUCUGGUUAAUACCUGGGGUCGAUGACGGUACCGGAAGAAUAAGGACCGGCUAACUACGUG
This 490-nucleotide ribosomal RNA is filed under the name uncultured bacterium. RNAcentral describes it as "partial 16S ribosomal RNA". It matches the Rfam family "Bacterial small subunit ribosomal RNA", at positions 30 to 507 of the family's 1533-position model. The record is from RNAcentral.